AUUGAACGCUGGCGGAAUGCUUUACACAUGCAAGUCGAACGGCAGCACGGACUUCGAUCUGGUGGCGAGUGGCGAACGGGUGAGUAAUGUAUCGGAACGUGCCCAGUCGUGGGGGAUAACGUAGUGAAAAUUACGCUAAUACCGCAUACGAUAUAUGGAUGAAAGCGGGGGAUCGCAAGACCUCGCGCGAGUGGAGCGGCCGAUAUCAGAUUAGGUAGUUGGUGGGGUAAAGGCCCACCAAGCCAACGAUCUGUAGCUGGUCUGAGAGGACGACCAGCCACACUGGAACUGAGACACGGUCCAGACUCCUACGGGAGGCAGCAGUGGGGAAUUUUGGACAAUGGGCGAAAGCCUGAUCCAGCCAUUCCGCGUGCAGGAUGAAGGCCCUCGGGUUGUAAACUGCUUUUGUACGGAACGAAAAGGUCUCUCUUAAUACGGGGGGCUCAUGACGGUACCGUAAGAAUAAGCACCGGCUAACUACGUGCCAGCCGCCGCAGUAA
This 500-nucleotide ribosomal RNA is filed under the name uncultured bacterium. RNAcentral's name for it is "partial 16S ribosomal RNA". It matches the Rfam family "Bacterial small subunit ribosomal RNA", at positions 30 to 523 of the family's 1533-position model. The record is from RNAcentral.